This 1518-nucleotide long non-coding RNA is filed under the name Sus scrofa (pig). RNAcentral's name for it is "lncRNA (ENSSSCG00015000392.1)". Lineage: Eukaryota; Metazoa; Chordata; Mammalia; Artiodactyla; Suidae. The record is from RNAcentral.
ACUGCCAUAGUAUGCCUAAUGGUCUUUGUUGAACCAAGUUUCCCUUGAAAAAGAAGAUGACAGAAUAAUAGAACAGAUGACAAAAGGCCCUAGGCUGCAACAUUUCUUUUUAAAAGCAGUGUUUCUAUCAAAUGCUGCAAAUAUAAAUUUACAUAUCUGACUAAUGAUAUGCUUAACAGAACGGAUUACAGAACUCUGUAUUUUAUGUAUAAAAUAUAUUUAUAUUUUGAGGCACUCUAAAGCCCAGGUCCUUGAAGUCUUUGUGUCACUGGACCCUGCACUUGGGGACUUUCAAUAAAUGUGCACAGAAAGAUAAGCAUGAACCAUGCAAUGUUGGGCCCUUGAGGAAGCAUAAACUGACUGAAAUGCAUUGUACUACAGUGGCUGGGGGUGGGGAGUGGAGAGGAGGAAAAAGUACUUGUUAGUAGCAAGAUUAUGAUUAAUUUGAUUAUAAACAUUUAUUUAGAGCAGAUCUUGAAAUGAAUGGGUUGACCUUUCCUGAGAGAGUAAGAAUGAAAUAACAAUUCAUUUUAUGAGUGGCUCCACUUUCUGUUCCUUAGAAUAUGCCAUACUUUCUUUGAAUUGGGUUUUAAAAAUUCUUAAUAGGUUCAAAAGCAUUUGGUCUGUUAAUACUGGAAGAUUUGUUUCUGUGAUUGCUGAGGUCCAUUUUAUAUUUUUGCUGCUGCUAUGGAGUUUUGAAUGAGUUUUGCUUUGAACUUUUAAACUGAAACAUGCCACUUAUUUUUAGAAAGGGCUAAUUAGGUGUUAUCCUUUAAUGCCCCUUAAAUGUAUUGCUGAUUUUCAGACAGGGAAGUCUAUUACACUGGAAUUGAGGAUGCUCCUAAUGUUUGCUUUAUAGAUAAGCCAACAUCAUACCAGGCAAGACAGACCAAUAACAUACCUGGUAUAACAUCUUACUGACACAUGAUUUUAGUGUAUAAAAAAAUACUGUACUGUUUUAUGUAUCUAUCAUCUUUAGAGGUGGUUAUGAUUUUUUUCAUGAAAGAUAAGCUUUUGGUGGUACUUUUUAAAAAAAAUUGGACUUGUUAAAAUCACAGACUGGAGAAUAAUAAUUUAUUUCUUGUAUAUAUUUUUUCUGAUUAUAAUAGUAAUAUAUGUUCACUGUAAAAAUUUAAAAACAGAAACUAUAUGUAAAAAAAAAAUGAAAUUUCACCACCUUUUGGUAGCCACUAUUAACAUAGCCUACUAGAGUUAGAUCAUAUUGUAAAUAGUUGUGUCUUUAUUAAUUUUCACUGUGUGUAAUUCCUUUGUCAUUAGUCUUCAAAAGCAUGAUUUUUAAUAGUUGUGGAGUAAUUACACUAUAUGAAUUUAUUGCAACUUAUUUAAACAUUCCUAUUGUUGGACUAGUUUCUUAUUGUUAAUUGCUGUUAAAUAAUAGAUGUUGUUUAAAAAUGAUUUUCUUGUUACAAUAUUUAAUUUCCUUGAGCAUAGAGAGAAGUAUUUCUGUCCCUUGAUAAAGUACUGUAAUAAAUUUGCCUGCAGCUUUGUCUUCUUUCA